AGGGGUGUGGCUGAGUGGUAGAGCAUCUGCCUGGCAACUUUGAGACCCUGAGUUCAAAUCUCAGCAUCAUGA
RNAcentral lists this transfer RNA (72 nucleotides) under Dipodomys ordii (Ord's kangaroo rat). It matches the Rfam family "tRNA". From Rfam's summary of the family: Transfer RNA (tRNA) molecules are approximately 80 nucleotides in length. Their secondary structure includes four short double-helical elements and three loops (D, anti-codon, and T loops). Further hydrogen bonds mediate the characteristic L-shaped molecular structure. tRNAs have two regions of fundamental functional importance: the anti-codon, which is responsible for specific mRNA codon recognition, and the 3' end, to which the tRNAs corresponding amino acid is attached (by aminoacyl-tRNA synthetases). tRNAs cope with the degeneracy of the genetic code in two manners: having more than one tRNA (with a specific anti-codon) for a particular amino acid; and 'wobble' base-pairing, i.e. permitting non-standard base-pairing at the 3rd anti-codon position. Lineage: Eukaryota; Metazoa; Chordata; Mammalia; Rodentia; Heteromyidae. The record is from Rfam by way of RNAcentral.